AUGGAAGAUCUUCACGUCGACGAACUUGAAGUUGUGGACAUCGAAGUAGUAGUCAUGCUUCACCGGCCUGUUGAAGGGGAAACCGAAGGGCAGGGCGUCCACGUAGCGGGAACCGUGUCCCACGCCGCAGCUGACCACCGGAUCGUAGCCAGUGAACUGGGCAACCUCGGGCUGGUGGUACGGGUAGACCAUGUAGAAGAACUGGAACACCUGGCCGCCCUUCUUGCCGCGCGGCAGCAUCAUUCGGUUGGGCACGCCGCAAUGGGCCUCCGACUGAUCCAGCUUGAACUUGUAGUCACUGUUGGUGGCGUCCAUCAGCUUCUGGUAGAGCUCCAGGUAGGUGGUGCGAUCGUUCACCCAGAAGGAGAAGUCACCGCUGGCGCGCUUGAUGUGGUUAACGCCCGCCUCCAGAUGCACCUUGAAGUGCUCCAGCUCGAAGAAGUUCUGGUAGUUGUGCUCCAGUGGGAUCUCGUGUCCGUGCUCAUCGUACUUGGGUCCAAUGAAGACCUUCACAACGGCAUCCUGAGCCUUGUCCGAGGUCACGUCCAGGGUGAACUCGAAGGGCUUGUGGUUGAGACGCUGCUGGCGGGCCUUGAUCACAUAGCUGGAUCCCUUGUAGUGGGAGUUCCUGCCGAAGGUGUACAACGGAUCGGCGGAUCCCUCAACGGCGGGCUCCACAUUGACGGCAUUGCUGAUGUCCGAGUCGAAGUGCUCGAAGUAGGUGGUCAGACUUUCGGGCAUGUGGACGGCAUCGAUGUGGACACCCUCGAAGGCGUAAUCCUUCUUGUGGUACUCCGGAUAGGUCUCCAUCAGAUGCCAGUAGUGGCUGACAAUGGUCUUGUAUACCUCGUAGAAGAUCGGAUCGCGCAUAGAGGUGUCGUAGUGCAUGAAAAGGCCAGGGAAGCUCUCGUCACCAUGGCCAUAAUGGUGGCCCUCGUUCACAAUGAAGCGGUACAGCUUGUCAAGACUGCCGUAGAACUUCUUGUCCACGCUGUCCGCAUUGCCCUGGAUGAUGUUGCCCAGCACAUUGAUGGUCUCCACAUCGAACUUCUCGUUCUUGUGGAUCCAGUCCAUGACACGCUGCGUGUACAUCUCCACAUGCUCGAUGUGCUCGUAGUUGUGCUCGUGGUAGAAGCUGUGGUGAUUCUCCCGGUGCCAUUGGGGUACGCCGUAGUAGGUGCGCAGGUUACUGGCAUAGCCGGAUUCGGUUGGCACAUACAUGUUGAAAGCGGGCACCUCGCCGAGAUCGUGGGACAGACGCUCCAGGUACCAACGGGCCAGCAAUUGCCAGUGGACAUACAGGUAGAGCUCACCGCGACGAUCCUUGUUAAGGACAUGCUCCUCGCCGCCCUUCGUCCAGAACGGAUAGUCCAGAUUGAAGUAGUAGUAGAAGGCAUUGAAGCCAACAUCCUCCAGGUAGUAGGCCAAAUCGUGAUCGUAGUUCAGGGAACCGUGCACGUUCGAAUAGUUCGUACGGAUCACCACGUUGUAGAUGUUGUCCAUCUGCUUGACAUGAUGGAAGCCGUGCAUUUUGUAGUGCUCAGCCCAUUCCAGUGCCUGGCUAUCGAAGUAGCUCCAUGGGUGGAUCUCGUAGUGGGCCGGCAGGACGACUCCCUGCAUAUCAUCACGGAACAAACUGGCAAUGGUCACGGCGUACACGAACAACUGCUUGUUUACGUGCUGGCGGGCCCAGUAGACGACGUGCUGGAAGGUCUCCCAGUUCUUGGCGAAGUAGAAGAGACGCACCAGACCCACCACAUACUCCUCGUGCUUGUCGUACAUCACCGACCACACCAUGUCAUCGGUGAAGGGUUGGUGUUGCCACAGCUCGAAGAAGUGCUCCAACAUCUCCGGGUGCACAUAGUCGGCCACGUGCUCCCACGGCUUGUACUCCACGUAGCUGCCCCCGAAGGGCGUGGUGAACACAUCGUCCUGGUAGAUGUGCUGCAGGAUCUGGUACAUGAACUUCUGUUUCAUCAGAAAGUCCUUGUCCGCCACCUUGGAGUCCAGGUGCUUGGCCUGGCCGAGAGUAGCCAGCAAUGCCACUGCAGCUAACGCAAUCACCGUGAACGACUUCAUCUUCUCGAGUCGAUUCGAAUCGUAACGCUGCAAUGAUCGGUAGCCAGUAUUUAUACCCCCGGAUCGGCGAUACGCAGAUUGCAAUCCGGCCAAUGACCGGUCGCAUCCGUAGCCUUGAUCCGCGCCAUCGCCGGAUCUGAACGACCCGCGAAGCUCUCAAUCUUAGCGCCCAUGCUGCAUCCAUAAUUGCAGGUGAUAAGACCGACGAUUAGGCGGCCAUACCAAGAUCAAUCCUACAUCAUUAUCUAAAUUCAAGAGUGAGCCACUAGAAACUGGUGGUUAGGUGAAGCAGCUGGAAGAUCCAGUU
RNAcentral lists this long non-coding RNA (2386 nucleotides) under Drosophila melanogaster (fruit fly). Its description in RNAcentral is "antisense RNA:CR11538 (Dmel_CR11538)". Lineage: Eukaryota; Metazoa; Arthropoda; Insecta; Diptera; Drosophilidae. The record is from RNAcentral.